GACGAACGCUGGCGGCGUGCCUAAUACAUGCAAGUAGAACGCUGAAGCUUGGUGCUUGCACCGAGCGGAUGAGUUGCGAACGGGUGAGUAACGCGUAGGUAACCUGCCUGGUAGCGGGGGAUAACUAUUGGAAACGAUAGCUAAUACCGCAUAAGAGUAGAUGUUGCAUGACAUUUGCUUAAAAGGUGCAAUUGCAUCACUACCAGAUGGACCUGCGUUGUAUUAGCUAGUUGGUGAGGUAACGGCUCACCAAGGCAACGAUACAUAGCCGACCUGAGAGGGUGAUCGGCCACACUGGGACUGAGACACGGCCCAGACUCCUACGGGAGGCAGCAGUAGGGAAUCUUUGGCAAUGGACGGAAGUCUGACCGAGCAACGCCGCGUGAGGGAAGAAGGGUUUCGGAUCGGAAAGCUCUGUUGUAAGAGAAGAACGAGUGUGAGAGUGGAAAGUUCACACUGUGACGGUAUCUUACCAGAAAGGGACGGCUAACUACGUG
RNAcentral lists this ribosomal RNA (497 nucleotides) under uncultured bacterium. RNAcentral's name for it is "partial 16S ribosomal RNA". It matches the Rfam family "Bacterial small subunit ribosomal RNA", at positions 28 to 507 of the family's 1533-position model. The record is from RNAcentral.